GCCUCGGUAGGCUCAGUCGGUUAGAGCAGAGGACUGAAAAUCCUUUCGUGUCGGCCGCGGUUCGAUUCCGUCCGAGCCACCA
RNAcentral lists this transfer RNA (82 nucleotides) under Bacillus sp. UFRGS-B20. RNAcentral's name for it is "tRNA-Phe". It matches the Rfam family "tRNA". From Rfam's summary of the family: Transfer RNA (tRNA) molecules are approximately 80 nucleotides in length. Their secondary structure includes four short double-helical elements and three loops (D, anti-codon, and T loops). The record is from RNAcentral. Lineage: Bacteria; Bacillati; Bacillota; Bacilli; Caryophanales; Bacillaceae.